This 429-nucleotide ribosomal RNA is filed under the name uncultured Gammaproteobacteria bacterium. Its description in RNAcentral is "bacterial SSU rRNA". It matches the Rfam family "Bacterial small subunit ribosomal RNA", at positions 355 to 776 of the family's 1533-position model. The record is from RNAcentral. Lineage: Bacteria; Pseudomonadati; Pseudomonadota; Gammaproteobacteria.
UGGGGAAUAUUGCACAAUGGGCGAAAGCCUGAUGCAGCUAUGCCGCGUGUGUGAAGAAGGCCUUCGGGUUGUAAAGCACUUUAGGCGGGGAGGAAAAGCUAAUGAUUAAUACUCAUUAGCCGUGACGUUACCCGCAGAAUAAGCACCGGCUAACUCCGUGCCAGCAGCCGCGGUAAUACGGAGGGUGCAAGCGUUAAUCGGAAUUACUGGGCGUAAAGCGCGCGUAGGCGGUUUGAUAAGCGGAGUGUGAAAUCCCCGGGCUUAACCUGGGAACUGCAUUCCGAACUGUCGAGCUAGAGUAUGAGAGAGGGUGGCGGAAUUCCGAGUGUAGCGGUGAAAUGCGUAGAUAUUCGGAGGAACACCAGUGGCGAAGGCGGCCACCUGGAUCAAUACUGACGCUGAGGCGCGAAAGCGUGGGGAGCAAACAGG